This 1379-nucleotide long non-coding RNA is filed under the name Equus caballus (horse). Its description in RNAcentral is "lncRNA (ENSECAG00000059895.1)". The record is from RNAcentral. Lineage: Eukaryota; Metazoa; Chordata; Mammalia; Perissodactyla; Equidae.
UAACACAAGCACACACAGGUGCGCCCAGGCUGGCGGCCGAGCUUCAGGAAGCGCUGGUUCUGAGUGAGGCCGUGCGGGCGCUGGGCAACACAGCCGGGCCCUGGCCGAGGACCACAGGUCGCCCACCAGGCCCUGCACCAGCAGAGCUUCAGAGCGGAAGUAUGUGUGACCUACUCGGCUCCUCAUAUCCUGCAAAUGGCACCCGGACCACAAUGAGCAGCUGGGGCCACCUGCCCCAUGGCAUCGCUGUGCCGAGGACACAGAGCGGCCGAUGGGAAUGGGCGAGUGAGCACAUGGUCCAAGGAACGCCCACCCCACUUCUUCGAGUCAGAGGGAGCCUACGCCGAGGUUGGACACGGGUCUGGGGCUCUGCGGGGUCAUCUUGGGGAGCUGCAGGUCACUCCGUGGCUCCCUCUGCUCCCGAGGAGUCCUGGUCGCUGGUGGCUGCCUCCCAGGUGACCUCCUCAUUUCAGCUUCACAGCCCCAAACGGUUUCCCGACUGUUGGCCCAUCCUGAACUGAACGCUGCCUGAGCGACGGCGGAGACUGCAGAGCCAGGCCGCCACCCAUGAGGCUGACGUUCUUCCCUCUACUCCCACCAGACGCCUCCCCAGCUGGUGAGGACGCACAGAGGCCACGGUCUUCCCUCUACUCCCACCAGACGCUUCCCCAGCUGGUGAGGACCCACACGAGGCCACGGUCUUCCCUCUACUCCCACCAGACGCCUCCCCAGCUGGUGAGGACACACACGAGGCCACGUUCAUUCUCUACUCCCACCAGACGCCUCCCCAGCUGGUGAGGACACACACGAGGCCACAGUCUUCCCUCUACUCCCACCAGACGCCUCCCCAGCUGGUGAGGACACACACGAGGCCACGUUCAUUCUCUACUCCCACCAGACGCCUCCCCAGCUGGUGAGGACACACAUGAGGCCACGUUCAUCCUCUACUCCCACCAGACGCCUCCCCAGCUGGUGAGGACACACAUGAGGCCACGUUCAUCCUCUACUCCCACCAGACGCCUCCCCAGCUGGUGAGGACACACACGAGGCCACGUUCAUUCUCUACUCCCACCAGACGCCUCCCCAGCUGGUGAGGACACACAUGAGGCCACGUUCAUCCUCUACUCCCACCAGACGCCUCCCCAGCUGGUGAGGACACACACGAGGCCACGGUCUUCCCUCUACUCCCACCAGACGCCUCCUCAGCUGGUGAGGACGUGCAGCGAACAAAGGAGCUGUGAGCUCCUAAGGAGCCACAGGCUCUCCUCCCCAUGUUGGCCCUUAUUCUGUGCUCUCUGGAUUGUCCCCCAUGGGCUGACCUCCCCUCUGAACCCGGCUCCUGACGGGUGAUGGCUUCAAAGCUCCCUGGUGACGCCGGC